CUGGUUGAUCCUGCCAGUAGUCAUAUGCUUGUCUCAAAGAUUAAGCCAUGCAUGUCUAAGCACAUGCCUUAAUACGGUGAAGCCGCGAAUAGCUCAUUACAACAGCCACCGUUUAUUAGAAUAUCGUUUUCCUACUUGGAUAACUGUGGCAAUUCUAGAGCUAAUACAUGCAAAAAAGCUCCGCCCGCAAGGAACGAGCGCAUUUAUUAGAAUAAAAACCAAUCGGGCUUCGGCUCGUGAUUUGGUGAAUCUGAAUAACUUUGCCAAUCGCACGGUCCUAGUACCGGCGAUGUAUCUUUCAAGUGUCUGCCUUAUCAACUUUCGAUGGUAGGUUAUACGCCUACCAUGGUAGUAACGGGUAACGGAGAAUAAGGGUUCGACUCCGGAGAGGGAGCCUGAGAAACGGCUACCACAUCCAAGGAAGGCAGCAGGCGCGCAAAUUACCCACUUCCAGAACGGAGAGGUAGUGACGAAAAAUAACGAGACAGUCCUCUUCGAGGUCUGUCAUCGGAAUGGGUACAAUUUAAAUCCUUUAACGAGGAUCUAUUGGAGGGCAAGUCUGGUGCCAGCAGCCGCGGUAAUUCCAGCUCCAAUAGCGUAUAUUAAAGUUGUUGCGGUUAAAACGCUCGUAGUUGGAUCUGCGGCCAAGGAGGACGGUCCCCCGAAAGGGCGGUCACUGUCCCUCCUAGCCUAAAUUCGAGUCGUCUCUAGGUGCUCUUUACCGAGUGUCUAGAGUGACUAGAACGUUUACUUUGAAAAAAUUAGAGUGCUUAAAGCAGGCGAAAUAGCCUGAAUAAGGUGCAUGGAAUAAUGGAAUAGGACCUCGGUUCUAUUUUGUUGGUUUUCGGAGCCCGAGGUAAUGAUUAAGAGGAACAGGCGGGGGCAUUCGUAUUCCGGCGCUAGAGGUGAAAUUCUUGGACCGCCGGAAGACGGACGACUGCGAAAGCAUUUGCCAAGAAUGUUUUCAUUAAUCAAGAACGAAAGUUAGAGGUUCGAAGGCGAUCAGAUACCGCCCUAGUUCUAACCGUAAACGAUGACAACCAGCGAUUAGUCGGCGUUAAUUAACGACCCGACUAGCAGCUUCCGGGAAACCAAAGUUUUUCGUUUCCGGGGGAAGUAUGGUUGCAAAGCUGAAACUUAAAGGAAUUGACGGAAGGGCACCACCAGGAGUGGAGCCUGCGGCUUAAUUUGACUCAACACGGGAAAACUCACCCGGCCCGGACACCGUAAGGAUUGACAGACUGAGAGCUCUUUCUUAAUUCGGUGGGUGGUGGUGCAUGGCCGUUCUUAGUUGGUGGAGCGAUUUGUCUGGUUAAUUCCGAUAACGAACGAGACUCUGGCCUAUUAAAUAGACGGUAUACCGAAAAGUAUAUCGCGCUUCUUAGAGGGACAAGCGGCGUCCAGCCGCAUGAAAUAGAGCAAUAACAGGUCUGUGAUGCCCUUAGAUGUCCGGGGCUGCACGCGCGCUACACUGAAAGAAUCAGAGUGCGCUGAUACCUAGUCCGGAAGGACCGGGUAACCCAAGUAAAUUCUUUCGUGCUUGGGAUAGGGAAUUGCAAUUAUUUCCCUUAAACGAGGAAUUCCCAGUAAAUGCGGGUCAUAAGCUCGCGUUGAUUACGUCCCUGCCCUUUGUACACACCGCCCGUCGCUACUACCGAUUGGAUGACUUAGUGAGGUCUUAGGACCGAGGUAAAGUUGCCUUCGCGGGUGACUUUGCUUUGGAAAUUUGCUCGAACUACGUUAUCUAGAGGAAGUAAAGUCGUAACAAGUUUCCGUAGGUGAACCUGCAAAGGCGAUUCCAGCACACUGCGCCGUACUAGUGAUCCGGCUCGUACCAGCUGUAUCGCNCCUCCCNNNNNNNUUUUUUUUUUUUUU
RNAcentral lists this ribosomal RNA (1875 nucleotides) under Limulidae environmental sample. RNAcentral's name for it is "SSU rRNA". It matches the Rfam family "Eukaryotic small subunit ribosomal RNA". Lineage: Eukaryota; Metazoa; Arthropoda; Merostomata; Xiphosura; Limulidae. The record is from RNAcentral.